This 148-nucleotide small RNA is filed under the name Macaca fascicularis (crab-eating macaque). RNAcentral describes it as "Metazoan signal recognition particle RNA (ENSMFAG00000058542.1)". Lineage: Eukaryota; Metazoa; Chordata; Mammalia; Primates; Cercopithecidae. The record is from Rfam by way of RNAcentral.
GCUGGACUUGGUGGUGCAUGCCUGUAGUCCCAGCUACUUGGGAGGCUGAGGCAGGAGACUCGCUUGAGCCCAGGAGGCAGAGGUUGCAGUGAGCUGGGAUGGCACCACUGCAAUCCAGCCUGGGUGAUAGAGCGAGACUCUGUCUCAA